RNAcentral lists this ribosomal RNA (200 nucleotides) under uncultured archaeon. Its description in RNAcentral is "partial 16S ribosomal RNA". It matches the Rfam family "Archaeal small subunit ribosomal RNA", at positions 547 to 746 of the family's 1478-position model. The record is from RNAcentral.
AAAUCCACUCGCCUAACGAGUGGGCGUCCGGCGGAAACUACAGGGCUUGGGACCGGAAGACUUGAGGGGUACGUCUGGGGUAGGAGUGAAAUCCUGUAAUCCUGGACGGACCGCCGAUAGCGAAAGCACCUCAAGACGACGGAUCCGACAGUGAGGGACGAAAGCUAGGGUCUCGAACCGGAUUAGAUACCCGGGUAGUC